Mytilus californianus (California mussel) is the source of this 1196-nucleotide long non-coding RNA. RefSeq lists it as uncharacterized. The record is from RefSeq and is a predicted model, not a curated record. Lineage: Eukaryota; Metazoa; Mollusca; Bivalvia; Mytilida; Mytilidae. The transcript is spliced from 2 exons.
CCUUGACCUCAUUUUCAUGGUUCAGUGGUUAUAGUUAAGUUUUUGUGUUUUGGUCUGUUUUUCUUAUACUGUAUGCAAUAGGUCUACUAUAUUUGGUGUAUGGAAUGAUUGUAAGGUGUACAUGUCUAGCUGGCAGGUGUCAUCUGACCUUGACCUCAUUUUCAUGGUUCAGUGGUCAAAGUUAAGUUUUUGAGUUUUGGUCUUUCUUUCUAAUACUGCAUGCAAUAGGUCAGCUAUAUUUGGUGUAUGGAAUGAUUGUAAGGUGUACAUGUCUAGCUGGCAGGUGUCAUCUGACCUUGACCUCAUUUUCAUGGUUCAGUGGUUAUAGUUAAGUUUUUGUGUUUUGGUCUGUUUUUCUUAUACUGUAUGCCAUAGGUCUACUAUAUUUGGUGUAUGGAAUGAUUGUAAGGUGUACAUGUCUAGCGGGCAGGUGUCAUCUGACCUUGACCUCAUUUUCAUGGUUCAGUGGUCAAAGUUAAGUUUUUGAGUUUUGGUCUUUUUUUCUAAUACUAUGUGCAAUAGUUCAACUAUAUUUGGUAUGUGCGUACCUUGCAAGGUCCUCAUGCCCGUCAGACAGUUUUCACUUGACCUCGACAUCAUUUCAUGGAUCAAUGAACAAGGUUAAGUUUUGGUGGUCAAGUCCAUAUCUCAGAUACUAUAAGCAAUAGGUCUAGUAUAUUCGGUGUAUGGAAGGACUGUAAGGUGUACAUGUCCAACUGGCAGGUGUCAUCUGACCUUGACCUCAUUUUCAUGGUUCAGUGGUUAUAGUUAAGUUUUUGUGUUUUGGUCUGUUUUUCGUAUACUGUAUGCCAUAGGUCUACUAUAUUUGGUGUAUGGAAUGAUUGUAAGGUGUACAUGUCUAGCGGGCAGGUGUCAUCUGACCUUGACCUCAUUUUCAUGGUUCAGUGGUUAUAGUUAAGUUUUUGUGUUUUGGUCUGUUUUUCUUAUACUGUAUGCAAUAGUUCAACUAUAUUUGGUGUAUGGAAAUAUUUUAUGAUCUAUUUGGCAGUCACGCAGGUUUUAUUUGACCUUGACCUCAUUUUCAAGGUUCAUUGCUCAGUGUUAAGUUUUUGUGUUUUGGUCUGUUUUUCUUAAACUAUAAGCAAUAGGUCAACUCUAUUUGUUGUAUGGAAGAAUUGUUAGCUGUACAUGCCUGCCUAGCAUGGUUCAUCUGACCUUGACCUCAUUUUCAUGGU